CUGUCCUCUGGAGUUCCCCUGACCACUUCACUAGAGGUUUCCUGGACCCUUAAUAGGAAGAAACCUGACCUACUGAAGUGUUUGGGGGAACUCCUGUUGGCAC
RNAcentral lists this microRNA precursor (103 nucleotides) under Theobroma cacao (cacao). RNAcentral describes it as "mir-395 microRNA precursor family". It matches the Rfam family "mir-395 microRNA precursor family". From Rfam's summary of the family: mir-395 was identified in both Arabidopsis thaliana and Oryza sativa computationally and was later experimentally verified. mir-395 is thought to target mRNAs coding for ATP sulphurylases. The mature sequence is excised from the 3' arm of the hairpin. The record is from Rfam by way of RNAcentral. Lineage: Eukaryota; Viridiplantae; Streptophyta; Magnoliopsida; Malvales; Malvaceae.